GAUAAACGCUGGCGGCGUGCAUGAGACAUGCAAGUCGAACGAAGGAGCGGGCUUGCUCGAUCCUUAGUGGCGGACGGCUGAGUAACGCGCAGGUGACCUACCCCGAAGUGGGGAAUAACUGCCCGAAAGGGUGGCUAAUACCGCACGUGGUCGCACGUUUAUUCGUGGGAGUAAAGCCGCAAGGCGCUUCGGGAGGGGCCGGCGUCCGAUUGGCUCGUUGGUGGGGUAAUGGCUUAGCAAGGCGACGAUCGGUGGGUGGUCUGGGAGGACGGUCACCCAGACUGGAGCUGAGGCACGGCCCAGACUCCUACGGGAGGGAGCGGUCGGGAAUUUUGCGCAAUGGGGGAAACCCUGAAGCAGCAACGCCGCGUGAGGGGUGAAGGCCUUCGUGUUGUAAAUCUCUUUUGUCAGGGACGAUGAUGACGGUACCUGGCGAAUAAGCCACGGCUAACUACGUG
RNAcentral lists this ribosomal RNA (458 nucleotides) under uncultured bacterium. RNAcentral describes it as "partial 16S ribosomal RNA". It matches the Rfam family "Bacterial small subunit ribosomal RNA", at positions 28 to 507 of the family's 1533-position model. The record is from RNAcentral.